This is a non-coding RNA of Rattus norvegicus (Norway rat), 721 nucleotides long. The record is from RefSeq and is a predicted model, not a curated record. Lineage: Eukaryota; Metazoa; Chordata; Mammalia; Rodentia; Muridae.
CCUAAGCCCAGGGAGCAGGCCACAGAUGUCUCCCACGUGCACUGCAUCCUUACCUCCCUGAAGCAGCCCUGAGAAGCCGCCCUACAGAAACAAGACAUCUGCAGCAUCUUAACCCUGGUCAGUGAAGCUGUUCACAUAAUUGGAUAAUGGCAUACACACGUCCACUCCUAAUUCUGCCUGCAGAGCAAUGAAAUCGUUAGGAAACUACCCAAGUCUCUGGCCCCCAGCACCAGAUAAGGAAAUCUGAGUGAGUUUCCAUGUCUAGAAGAUGUUUGAAUGGCAACGAAGUCCUUUUAUAAAGUUGCUUUCACAGUACAGAAAACUGCUGGGAGCUUUGGAAAACCAAGGGACAGCUCCUCCUAAGGUUCCAACUCAAAUGCCUAGUCACACCCAACACUAUGGAAAUCCUCAGACUCGAGUGCUUUUGCUGUGGACUCGAUGAGAUGAAAGCUUAGAUGGUCUCCAACUCCUGGACAGCUCUUUCCUUACGUCUCUUCCUUGGGUGUAAAACAACCAUCUACACAAACAGCAGCUAACUCCAUAAGUAGUUGGUUCGUUCUGUUUCUCCUACAGGAGAUCACAUGGUCCAUUUCUUAAGGAUUGAAGACGAAAAAUCAUUUUCAAGAGAUUACCCCAAAUGUACAAUAAAUAGUAGAAAGUACUAGGAACUCCGAAGACAGAAGGGAUGGAGAACAAUAAAUACAUUUAUCUGUGUCUUCAA